CACCAGGGGAAGGCAGCUAAGAAGCACCUGCUCCUGGCUUCUCACCCUCAGGCCCCCUGAAGAAAAUACCAGAGAAGGACUUCAACAAUUGCAGCAGGUGAGCGUCUGGUACUUUACAGCCCACUGAAGCCUCAGAACCACGCUAGGACGCAAGCUGUAUUAGGAUGCUGUUUUACAGAGGUGAAAACCACGGCCUCGGCCACUGACUUGUCCGAGUCCCACAGCUUGUGACCGGCAGCAGGAGGGCUCAGGCCCCGAGCCUGUGCUUAUGGUGGCUUGGCUCCUAAGGGCCCAGGGAUCAGAGGACAGAGAGAGCAGUACCGGCAUGGGGAGCAGCGUCCUAGAGGGAGGUCCUGGGCGGGGCUCUGCAGGCCGAGGAGAACUCGGGCAGCCGGUGCUGGUGGAAGUGGUAGCGGGAGCCCUGUCCCCCGUGGGGCGGGAUCCUGGGUGUGCCCUGCCUGGAAGUCACCCCAUUUGCCUUGCGCCUGCUGGGCAAGCUCUGCGAGGGCUUGGCUGAGCCUCUCAUCCCCUCCGUGGGGCACCCCACCCAGGCCCCAGGCAGGUGCUUUGUGAGAGCUUAUUGCCACUCGACCCUUCUGUUGCCAGACCUCUCAGCAAUCACGUGUGCCCUCCUACAGACCAGGAAACCGAGGCUCAGAGUAGGGCAGGCCACACAGGUUCAUCUGCAUCUUUACUCUCCUCCCCUCUCCUCCGUGAGCCGGGGAUCACGUCUCCCUCCCCCGGCUCUCAGCACCUGCAACAGACCCCGGCAGGCGAAGACGGAGGGGAGUGGGCAACGCAGAGCAUCUCGCCCGUGGUGGUCUCACCGGGCAGGAACGGAGCAAAGAAGGGCAGCUUCUCCGUGGCUCCCAGAGCCCCAGACGUGGAAACUUAAGACCAUCUUUCGGACUCAAGGAGUCCAAGUCCCCCCUUUACGGAUGAAGAAAACGAGGGCCCCAAAAAGGAUGAGCCCCAUCCAGGGCACCAUCCAGGUAAGGGACAGACCAGAAACCAGCAGAGCCAGUCCGGAGGACCUGAGGUUGGCACGCCACAUGAACGAAGGCCAGCAGGCUGAAGAGAGCUGAGGCUGGAGAGGGGGCUGGGGCUGGGCCAGGCAAGGAGUCUGGACUCGAGGCCAGAGCGAUGGGAAGUCGUUGGACUGGAAAGGUCUAUGAACCACCUGGCUUCGGUUCUUACAGGACCCAUCUGGCGGCCGGGGACUGACUGGCCUGCAGGAGGGCGGGUGGGACAGGAACAGGGACACCCAGGAAGGGGAGCUGACCCUGUGACCCCCUGCUGACUCGACCUCACCGCUCAGAGGGCUGAGGGUCCCUCAGUGGGCGUGUCUUAGCCUGAGCUCCUGAGUUCCACCCCCAAAUCCGCCCCUCCCACUGCCUUCCCAUCUCGAGAAACACAAACUCCAUUCUUCCCCUUGCUCAGGCCAAAAACCUCGGGGUGCCCCAUCCCCGCUUUCUUUCACCCCUGCACCUGAUCCCACAGCAAGUCCCUUUGGUUCCGCCUUCAAAAUAUAACGGGAAUAUAACCACUUCUCUGCUGCUGCCCCCCCCCGCCCCUCCCCCCAGCCUCCCCCCCCAGGUCACCAGGGCGGCUGCACAGGCCUCUGCCUGCCCCCAACCUUGCCCCACACUGUUCCCUCCAUUAGGUGGCCGGGCGGCGGAGGGAGGAGGGAACUGCUAAAAAAAGUUGGAGCACGUCCCUCGGUCUCCAAAGCCUCUGGUGGCUCCCCACCUCCCUCAGAGGGAAGCCCUGACCUUGGCCUCUGAGGCGCCCACGCCCUGGCCCCCAGGCCCUGCCUGGCCCUCUCUCCCGCCGCCGUCUCACCCUCAUCCUGUGCCAUCUCACCCUCAUCCUGUGCCGCAGCCCACCCUCUUCCUUGCUGUGUUAGUCUUCAUGCCUCAAGCCAUUUGCACGGCCGCACUGUCUGCCUGGAAUGCCCUCCGCAGACGUCUGCCGUGCCGGCUCUGGCACCUCCUUUAUGUCAUCAGGUGGCACCUUCUCAGGAGGCCUCCGUGACCACCCCACCUAAAACGCAUCCUGUCAAAUCAGCCUCCUCACCUGCCCACUAGCCUGCUUCGUGAAUGGAGGUUAGAACUGAAGCUCUCUGGGCCUCAUCCGUCAAAAAGGACGACGACCCACGCUGGGGCAGGCUUACGGCAAAGUUUUGCGGAUUCGCCAUCACCGCCCAGCUGUGUGGCUGGGGCAGGAGAAUCAACCUCUCUGGGCUGUGGUUUCCACAUCUGCAAAGUGGAAGUGAUAACAUCGCUCCCCGCCUAGACUCACGGGGAUGGCUCAGAGGCCCCUUCCCUCUGUCUUCCCUAAGACAUUGCUCCAGCGUCUCCUCUCUUAGAACUCGUCAGCAUUUCCCCCUCUACCGGAUCAACCCUCACGAUACAUGGCCUGCUGGCUUUUCUCUCAUCGUCUGAGCCUCCACCCCCUCCCCUGCCGUCCCUUUUCUCUCCACCCGCACAGGAGCUCCUUCAGAGUGUGUCUGAGCUCGCUGGCCCCCUCCUCCCUUGAACCCGCGCCCCUCAGGUCUUCAGCUCCCCCUCCCAGGAAACCCAGGACCUCCUCCUUGCUAAACCCCAAGCCAUCCUUCUAGACAUCAUCCUUGACCCACAGCAGCGUUCCACAUGGUUACCUCUCCCUGCUCCUUCAAUGCCUUCCUUGCCGCUGUCAGAACCUUCCAGUUUGCCUCCUACUUCCCCGGCUGCCCCUUCUCAGACCCUCUUCUGCUUCUCCCACCCCUUGCCCCCACCUCUCAGGGUUGGGGACCUCGGGCUCAGUCCCUCGUUGUCUGUUUCUUUCCAUCUACCUUCCUCCCUGGCUGACUAUAAAGACGCUUACUCUGCGGGCGCCCCCCGCGCUGAUAUCGCAGCCUGGACAUCUCCCCUGAGCCCCAAAGCUGCAUCCGCCUUCCUCCUCCACAGCUCCGCCCUGCCUCUCUGGUUUACUUUAUUCCAGUCUGAUCUCCUGAUAUUUGCACAUUGACCCGGUCCAGCCUCAACCUUCCUCAUCCCAGCGAAUGGCAACCCCAUUCUUCCCACGGCCACAGCUAAGCACUAGCUGCCGUGCUGAACACCCUCCCUCGGACUCUGUCUGUCUGUCUCUGAGUCUCCCCCAAUCUCUCUCAUCCCACGUGGGAUUCAUCAGCAGGUCCUACCGGUUCUAACUUCUAAAUUCACCUCUGUUUCCAGCACGCCCCACUAUCCCCUCAGCCUCCCCCUGGACAAGCUUCCAUCAUCUCUUGCCUGGCUCUUCACCCCAGCUGCUUCCUGUCCUCCCGGCUUCUGCCCCUGCUGCCUGCUGUCUAUUCUCCACGCGGCAGCCAGAGGGACCCCACUCCAAGGAGAGUCAGCAUAGCCUCCUGUGCUCACUCCCCUGCAGUGGCCCCGUCGCUCAGAGAAGCCCCAGUCCUUAUAAAGACCGUCGAGGCCCUGUAUCCCCCGCAUCCCGGCAGCCUCUCCCCUCCCCGCCGCCCCUCCCCAGGUUCACCCCGCUCCCCCUCCUGCCUCCAGGCAGUUGCUUCCUGGGAUGUUCUCCCCCGAGCAGCAUACACACAGGUACAAGCCUGCUUCUGGGGAGACCUUCCUGGCACCCCAUCCACAAUUCCAACCUGCCACCUGACAUUCCCUUCCGCUUCCCCGCCCGCUGUCCCCCUAGCACUGACGACAAUCUCAUGUGCCUUAUGUUGGGUGGGAGGGCCCCGGCUCUGUUUCUGGUAUGUGCGGCCCUAUUCCAUCCUGGCCUCACUGUUCUCCCAGGGGUCUUUCUGCACCUCUCACUGUCUCUCUGCCUCCUGUCUGUCCUCUCGCCCCACUCAGAGCCGCUCUAUUCUCCUCAAUGGACACCAAAAGGGUUUUUAAAAGCCUGGGUCUAAUCAUGUCAUCCACCCCUAAAGCCAUUCACCGGCUGCCCAUGGCCCUCAGCACAACGUCCCGUUCCCUCCAUGCGUGGGAGACCCCUGAAGACCAGCCCCAGCCCCACCUCAGCCCCUCCUGCCCCUCCCUGGGCCCACAGGAGGCUCCUCUUGGGGAGGGGUCACCAACGGCCACCGCACAUCCAGGCCACAGGCCCUGGGCCGGUGGACCUGUUUCCCAAGGGCCUUGGUGUGCGGGCCUCAUGCAAGAAGCUCCAAAUCCUCCAAGCACCCACUGAGAAAGCAACGCUGGAUUUCUACUAAGCACCUACUAUGUGCUGGGUGCCAAGAAUGGAGCAAUAAUGAAGACGUGUUAUGGCCUCCUCCUUGCUGGCUGGAGGCACAUUUGAGGGCAGGAGGAAAAACACCUCCUGGGGCCUCUGCCGUGACACCCUUCCCACAGAGCCCCUCACUCGGCCUCUCCGCUUCUCAGGGCCCUGUUCCAGGGUCACCGUCUCUGCGAGGCCCCCCAGUAUCCCUCCCCUCCCUGCUCCCCUUGUCUCCGUCUGGCUCACCCACCAGCACGUGCCCUCUGGGAAGGGCAGCCAGGGCUCCCCGCUCUGUCCUCGGUUCCAUCCCCAGCACCGAGGACAGAGCCAGGCAGAGCAAGUGGCGUUGGACGGAGGCUCGCAGUCCAUCCCCCUAUGGUGCCGAAAGCACCAUAAAGAGAUGCAGAUAAUGGGGAGGCUCCCUUCCGGCCUGACUGGGGUGGUCCCGGAGGGCUCUCUGAAGAGGUGGCAUCGAGCAGAGAGUCAAGGUCAUGAAAACGGAGCGGGAGGACAGCUGUUCCAGGUGGAGGAAGCGGUAAGCUGCACAGGCCCUGAGACGGGGCUGAGCUCAGGCGUUAUAACACCGCAGGCAGCGGGUGGGGCGGAGGACGCAUCCUCUGAGCCUUUUCCAGGAGGGUCGACUGCAGCUCAGGGAAGCUGAGGCCACAAAACAAGGAAGUAGCAGAGGCGAGCCUGGACUCCAGCCUGCGGGAUGUGGGCUCCGUCCCCAGGCGGUGCCCCUCCCUGCCGUUCUUUGGGGUUCACCGUGUUCUGCUCAUGAAUAGCUGGCCCAGGUGGGGCCCUGCUGGGUCAGGAGCCUCCAGGUCUCGUCUCAGCUCAGUGGCCUCCAGGGCAAAGCCCAGUGAGUCAGCGGGUGAGCGAGGGGCCCCCUGGGGAGUGGCCCGAGCCAGGGUCCCCUGCCCCCUGUUGAGCUGAGCCAUCGCCAUUCAGAGAGGCCCAGCUGGCUGACCAGCUUGGACCGGAGACUCAGCCAGCCGAGGUCUUAGAGACCAUGCAGAAGUUGGACAGGCGGCCCCUGCUCAGAACCUGUCCGGGGCGGGCAGGCCCACGGGGCGCUGAGGGACCGUCUGCGACUAGGACUCCUACUUUCUCCCUCCCCUCGCCUCUGUGCUCAUGCCCUGCCCCACUCGCUUCCUUGCUGCUCCCAGACAGCCACAGGCCAGGCUCCCCAGUUCCCCAAAGGGCUUUUGUCCUUGCCGUCCCUGCCAGGGCCUCUCCUCCCCCAACGCUGCUCGGCUGACUCCUGCUCAGCCUCAGGCCUCAGCUCAAAUGUCACCUCCUCAGAGGCCUUCUCUGAUCACCUGCCUAGAGCAGGUCAGCCCCACCACCUCUUACUCUCCAUCAGAGGGCACUUUUAGGUCUUUCAUGGCACUUAACACAAAUGACAGUCAGCCUGUGUGUUGUUUACCUAUCUAUUGUCAGUGUCCCCAUCUCUACGUUGGGAUGUGAGCCCCCCAUGUAUCUUGUUCCCUGGAGCCUCCUCAGGGCCUGGCACACAGUGGAUGAUCAGUAAAUAUUUCUGAAUGAGGGCAUGAGAGCCUACCCUCCUCACUGUACAGAGGCAGGAAUUGAGGUUCAGAGAGGGUGAGUCACUCACCCAAGGUUACACAGCAAACCAGAGGCAGAACCAAGGCAGGAGCCCAACUGAGCUCACCUGACUGUGUCCAGUGCUCUUCAGCCUGCACCAUAACCAGCACUCAGGGCUCAGCCGGUCCUUCCCCAGCCUUUCAGAUAGGAUCACUUUCCCCAUCACUGUCUUCCAGUUCUGGGGAGAAGGAAGAAGUGGGGAGAAAAGGUGGAAAGGGGCAAAGAGGGGAGAGUGUGGGUCAGAGAUGAAGGGGUCCUCUGAAGUUAGCUAGUCCCACCUGGUGGGCUCCAGCGAGGUUGGGGGCCUGGCCUGGGGCCUCUGGGCCCACAGUCCAUCGUGCCCUUGCCUGCCUGAGCCGGAAGGGGUUAAUGUUGUGCUUGGCUCCUGGCCGCCGUGGACCGUGGCUGGGACAGAACAUCUGUCUGUUGCUAUGGUUGCCGUACACUUGAAGGGGAUGGCUGGAUAAUUAUGGCAAACGCUGCCGAGUGAGUGAGCGGUGCCCAGAAGUGGCUCAGGACCCUUGCCCGCCCAGUGCAGUGUCGGGCCACAGGCCCCUCACCUGGCUGGUUCCCUGUGAGCCCUGUCCCUGGGCCUCAGCUCCUGGGCCAGCAGGAGCCACCUCAGCCUUUGCACAAUGAGUGGGCUGGCACAGGGCUUCCGGGAAGCCUGGAGCAGGGCGGACACUGGCAGCCUGGGGCAUGGGAGCCUGAGGGUAGUGGGCCGGCUGGCACAGGUGGUAGGCUCUGAUAUUGUCCCCGUGCCUCUGUGUCCUCUCCCUUGGGAGAAGCCCAAUCAUCCGUCCCUGCCUCCAUGGGUGCCCUGGAGCCUGAGUCCUGGCCUCUCUGCUCUGCCCGUUCCCUGGGCUUCAGUGCCCUCACUUGCCCACAGAGGAUAGGUGUGCCACCCUGGCAGAGCGGAGGGAGCUCUACAGGGAGAGGCUCGGGCAGAGGGCUCUGGGGCAGGAAAUGGUUGCCCGCCCGGGCUCAUCAGGCAGCCGCAGCUUCAUGUCCUGCAAGUGUGGGCCGUGGAAGGGCUGGAGGUUGCUCAGCACAGCGGCUGGGCACAUGGCUUGUCCUUGGCUCCAGCCCCUGCCCAGCCCAGCUGUGGGCAGGACAGACAGGCUUGCACCAGAGGGUCACCUCUCACUCCCCCUCCCAACGCCCCCCAAGGCCCAGAGCUCAGCUUCCUGAAGGCUCUGAGCAGACUCACUGACCACAGACCGGGAGGCCUGAAAGCCACAGCUUCAAGUCCCCUGCAGCGCCCGAGACAGAGCCGGGCGCCCUCCCAAGGGCACCAACAGGCUCCCGGCUAGCCCUAUGCCACUGGCCCCUCCUCUCAGCAACUUCUCUCUUCUCACCAUCCUCCCCCGCCCGACCCCCUACCCCGUCUGCCUGCUUCUUUCACGUAACAAUCACC
Molecule: long non-coding RNA, 7231 nt
Organism: Equus caballus (horse)
Lineage: Eukaryota; Metazoa; Chordata; Mammalia; Perissodactyla; Equidae
Source: Ensembl